This 772-nucleotide long non-coding RNA is filed under the name Marmota marmota marmota (Alpine marmot). RNAcentral describes it as "lncRNA (ENSMMMG00000022806.1)". The record is from RNAcentral. Lineage: Eukaryota; Metazoa; Chordata; Mammalia; Rodentia; Sciuridae.
GGCCCACACGGGGAGACGGCAGGAAGCUCAGACCGUGGCCCCAACAGCAAGGCGUCAUAGUUUUGGAAACAGCUAGGACCGGAAAUUAGUGAGGCUGAUUAGGAAAAUCGACUUGGCUUGACUCGAGAAGUCUCAUAGGGAGAUGACUGUUGCCACCAAGGACACAGGGAGGACACAGAGUCGAGACUCACCCUCACCUGCUCGAGGCAGGCUCGGAUGCCAAGGAUGGUGACUGUCAUGGAUCCUCCACCAGUGCCUAUUUUGUGGAUGAAUUAGGCCUGCAAACCCUGAGCUUGGCUCUUGGGGACAAGGUCAAUCCUUCCCCCACCUCCUAUGAGGUAGGAAAAAAUGGUGUGAUUGUUGGAAAUACGUGCAUCUAUCAAAAGGACAUGAAAUGCCUGCUCAGAGCCUGCAUUCCUUCCAGAAAAUACUUCAGGUCCCAACCCUGCUCCUGUGCUGCCAGGCUAAGCCCCCCACCUGGGUGGGUCCUAAGUCAACAUGACGAUGUGCUUAUAAGAAGACAGCCAUGUGAAGACAGAGAUGGGGGACCCUGUGAGAAGCUUGAGAAAUGCCUCUCCAAGGAAAGGAGUGGCCAGGAUUGGAGGCCAUUGCCAGUGAUGACCUCUGCCACAGCCUCAGAAGGAAUCAGCACCAGGGAAUACAUCUCUGUUGUUAAACCCAGCCAGCAUGUGGUCACUUGUUACUGCAGACCUAGCCAGCGAUACCUGGCCUUUCACACCAUCAAGAAGGUGUCAAGGGAGAGGACAGAAGA